GCUUGCAUGAUGAUGGGUGAACAGUAUUCUCCCUGUUGGCUGCUGUGGUGGUGGACUUGAACUGCUGGUCUGCUCCAGACAUGGGUUCUUGCUUCUUGGUUGCCAUAGAAACAGAGUUGUGGUGGUUGGCCCUGAAGGAGGAACCUUGGUGCUGAUCUGCCCCCAAAGUGUGGCCCUGCUGUUGGUUUUGUUAUAGGAACAGGAUCUCUCUGCUUGUAGGUCCCAAGCAUAUAUAGUCUCACUGUUGACCAGCCCUGGGGCAGGGCUUUAGUACUGGUCAGCAAUGGGGUCAAAGUCUUGCUGGUGGCUUGUUCUGGGGGUAAGGUCCCUGGGAUAGGGCACUGAUUGCUGUGCUACACAGACUACUCAUUUGCCUCAGGGUUUGCAGGAAGGUGGAGUCUUUGCUCGUGUAUUGUCCCAAGCUUGAAGCCUUGCUAAAGGCCUCCAGCUAGGAGGUUGGUGACUGUUGCUGCUGCUCUUGGAGUUCUCUACUCUCCCACCCCAGUGAAAAGGACCUUUCCUGUGGGGCUGAAGGAAGAUCAGGCUGCUAAUAUACUUCAUGGGAGAGUUCAAUGAAGAAAGUCAUAAAGAAGGAACUCUAAAUAUGGCAAUGGAGACAUGACUAGAAGAAUACUAGAAUGUAUCGGCAUACACUGUCAUUCUGUCAUCUGCAUAAAUGGGAGCAACAAAUUCCUUGACACUUGAAAUGUAACCCAAGGAACAAAGCAACACUUUCCAGGACAAAAGGCUAAUCUAUACAGAUUAAUAAACAGCAAUGGUUCCAUGCCAUGCUGACAGUUUUAUUUUAACAAGACAUAACUGAACUGAUAAAUUAUGUUUUUCCAGAAGAAGAAUUUCCAAACAUUCAACAGAGGUUUAUGUACUCGCAUGUUCUCUGGGUCAUAGAAUAUUAUAGAUUUAGAGCUGGAAGUGACCUCAAAAGCCAAGUUCAAUUUUUAUAGAUGAAAAAACUAAUACCCUGAGUUACUAACCCAAAGAGACAGUAGUUAGAAGAAUCAGGAUUUGAACUCAAGUCCAAUGAGUCCAGAUCUAGGGACUACCUUUCUUUUUAUUUUUAGUACUUAAUAAACAUUUAGUACACAUACAGUAGACAGUUAAUAAAUUCUAAUUGACCUACUGACUGACCACAGUACAAAUUAAGCCAAUAUAAUCUAACAAACUUCUAAGAGCAUAAGAUGUCUAUAUUAGGUAUUAGGAGCACAGUGACAAAAUGAAAGCUAAUCCUCCAUCUCAAGAAGCUUAAAUUCUACUAACAUACAAAAUAUAGAUUUUAACCCAAGUUGUCUUGCUUUAUUAAUUGAUAACAAGCUGAGUUUCUCACAAAGUGGAUACAUAUUGUUAACAUGUAUUGCUUACAUUAUAUUACAAUUAUGUAGUUUUAAUUGAUCAGGCAAGAUUGAUUAAAAUCAGUUAUUAUAGCCAUAGACAUGGCUAGGAAGGCAGCAUGCUACAGUGAAUUGAGUGCAUGAUUUGUAUAUAACUGGGAGUCCAAAUUCCAAAUACUAUCUCCCUCCUUCAUUUACUAUUUUCUUUUGAACAAAUCAUUUAAUCAUGUUGAACAUCAGAAAAAUAUAAGUUAUAAGUGAGUUGGUAUCUAUAUUGAUAGAGAUAGUUUUCCUUACCUAUAAAAUCACAGGUUUGUGACCCAUUAGUUCAUGGAAAACUUAGUUGUUAAUAUGCAAAUUUCAGAUAGACCAACCACUAACAAAAAUUCUCUAUUAAGCAAAAAUAUCCCACCAAACAUUCUGGCAAAGAUAAAUGAAAAGGAAAAAAAAAUCCCCUAGAAUAUUAAUUUUAACAUCCUUGAUUCACAUGUUCUAGAAAAAAAGGUUUGUUAUGUUCAGAGAUUUCAAACAAACAGUGGGAAAAGUGCUUUUUUGCCAGUUCUCCAUCGCUGCUUGUAAAUGAGUCAAUAAA
This is a long non-coding RNA of Sarcophilus harrisii (Tasmanian devil), 1938 nucleotides long. RefSeq lists it as uncharacterized. The record is from RefSeq and is a predicted model, not a curated record. The transcript has 3 exons. NCBI's taxonomy places the organism in Eukaryota, Metazoa, Chordata, Mammalia, Dasyuromorphia, Dasyuridae.